Molecule: ribosomal RNA, 734 nt
Filed under: Tintinnidium sp. 2 LS-2012
Lineage: Eukaryota; Ciliophora; Spirotrichea; Tintinnida; Tintinnidiidae
Description: LSU rRNA
Rfam family: Eukaryotic large subunit ribosomal RNA
Source: RNAcentral
CAGGAUUCCCCUAGUACGGGCGACGGAAGCGGGAAAAGCCCAGACUGGUAAUCUCUGCUCGCAAGGGCAGCGAAUUGUAAUCUGAAGGUUGUUGGCCUACCGGGGAGGGACGCAGAAGUGUUCUCGAGCGGACCGCCAAAGAGGGUGAUAGCCCCGUCUGUGGUGUCGCUCCCUACCGGGCCAGCUGCCAAAGAGUCGUGUACUUUGAUACUAGUGCACUAAGCGGGAGAUAGACUUCUUCUAAGGCUAAAUAUAUGUAGGAAACCGAUAGCGAACAAGUACUGUGAAGGAAAGAUGAAAAGCACUUUGAAAAGAGAGUUAAAAGACUUGAAAUCGUUGAGGCGGAAGCGGUAGAAAAGUAUUCUAUCUGAUGUCCGGCGAAGCGUGCCUAAGGGUCACCGGAAGCGCGUGGGUUGGACAGAAGGAUGAGCCAAGAUGGAGUCGAGAGGUGUCAAAUGCGAAGCGCGGCCGGCAGCUUGCUGCAGCCGCGUUUCAGCCGGGCGCCGCACGGCUUGAGGGGCCUUGUGCGAUCUUGGCAAAAUGGUUUUUACCGACUCGUCUUGAAACACGAACCAAGGAGUCUAAGACUAACGCGAGUGUGGUGGUGGAAAAACCAACACGCGAAAUGAAAGUAAAUGAUGCCAAGGCAACAGCAGCAUCGACCGACCAUGAUCCACUGGAGAAAGGUUUGAGUGAGAGCGUUAUUCUUAGGACCCGAAAGAUGGUGAAACUAU